Molecule: transfer RNA, 73 nt
Filed under: Gemmatimonadetes bacterium T265
Lineage: Bacteria; Pseudomonadati; Gemmatimonadota
Description: tRNA-Lys
Rfam family: tRNA
About the family: Transfer RNA (tRNA) molecules are approximately 80 nucleotides in length. Their secondary structure includes four short double-helical elements and three loops (D, anti-codon, and T loops).
Source: RNAcentral
GCACCGUUAGCUCAAUGGUAGAGCAGCUGACUCUUAAUCAGUAGGUUCUAGGUUCGAGUCCUAGACGGUGCAC